UGGGGAAUUUUGGACAAUGGGGGAAACCCUGAUCCAGCCAUCCCGCGUGUGCGAUGAAGGCCUUCGGGUUGUAAAGCACUUUUGGCAGGAAAGAAACGUCGCGGGUUAAUACCCCGCGAAACUGACGGUACCUGCAGAAUAAGCACCGGCUAACUACGUGCCAGCAGCCGCGGUAAUACGUAGGGUGCAAGCGUUAAUCGGAAUUACUGGGCGUAAAGCGUGCGCAGGCGGUUCGGAAAGAAAGAUGUGAAAUCCCAGAGCUUAACUUUGGAACUGCAUUUUUAACUACCGGGCUAGAGUGUGUCAGAGGGAGGUGGAAUUCCGCGUGUAGCAGUGAAAUGCGUAGAUAUGCGGAGGAACACCGAUGGCGAAGGCAGCCUCCUGGGGAUAACACUGACGCUCAUGCACGAAAAGCGUGGGGAGCAAACAGGAUUAGAUACCCUGGUAGUCCACGCCCUAAAACGAUGUCAACUAGCUGUUGGGGGCCUUUCGGGCCUUGGUAGCGCAGCUAAACGCGUGAAGUUUGACCGCCUGGGGAGUACGGUC
This 546-nucleotide ribosomal RNA is filed under the name uncultured bacterium. Its description in RNAcentral is "partial 16S ribosomal RNA". It matches the Rfam family "Bacterial small subunit ribosomal RNA", at positions 355 to 887 of the family's 1533-position model. The record is from RNAcentral.